GAUGAACGCUGGCGGCGUGCCUAAUACAUGCAAGUCGAGCGAACGGACGAGAAGCUUGCUUCUCUGAUGUUAGCGGCGGACGGGUGAGUAACACGUGGAUAACCUACCUAUAAGACUGGGAUAACUUCGGGAAACCGGAGCUAAUACCGGAUGAUAUUUUGAACCGCAUGGUUCAAAAGUGAAAGACGGCCUUGCUGUCACUUAUAGAUGGAUCCGCGCUGCAUUAGCUAGUUGGUAAGGUAACGGCUUACCAAGGCAACGAUGCAUAGCCGACCUGAGAGGGUGAUCGGCCACACUGGAACUGAGACACGGUCCAGACUCCUACGGGAGGCAGCAGUAGGGAAUCUUCCGCAAUGGGCGAAAGCCUGACGGAGCAACGCCGCGUGAGUGAUGAAGGUCUUCGGAUCGUAAAACUCUGUUAUUAGGGAAGAACAUAUGUGUAAGUAACUGUGCACAUCUUGACGGUACCUAAUCAGAAAGCCACGGCUAACUACGUG
RNAcentral lists this ribosomal RNA (497 nucleotides) under uncultured bacterium. RNAcentral's name for it is "partial 16S ribosomal RNA". It matches the Rfam family "Bacterial small subunit ribosomal RNA", at positions 28 to 507 of the family's 1533-position model. The record is from RNAcentral.